Molecule: ribosomal RNA, 497 nt
Filed under: uncultured bacterium
Lineage: Bacteria
Description: partial 16S ribosomal RNA
Rfam family: Bacterial small subunit ribosomal RNA
Source: RNAcentral
GAUGAACGCUGGCGGCGUGCCUAAUACAUGCAAGUCGAGCGAACAGACGAGGAGCUUGCUCCUCUGACGUUAGCGGCGGACGGGUGAGUAACACGUGGAUAACCUACCUAUAAGACUGGGAUAACUUCGGGAAACCGGAGCUAAUACCGGAUAAUAUAUUGAACCGCAUGGUUCAAUAGUGAAAGACGGUUUUGCUGUCACUUAUAGAUGGAUCCGCGCCGCAUUAGCUAGUUGGUAAGGUAACGGCUUACCAAGGCAACGAUGCGUAGCCGACCUGAGAGGGUGAUCGGCCACACUGGAACUGAGACACGGUCCAGACUCCUACGGGAGGCAGCAGUAGGGAAUCUUCCGCAAUGGGCGAAAGCUUGACGGAGCAACGCCGCGUGAGUGAUGAAGGUCUUCGGAUCGUAAAACUCUGUUAUUAGGGACGAACAAAUGUGUAAGUAACUAUGCAUGUCUUGACGGUACCUAAUCAGAAAGCCACGGCUAACUACGUG